Molecule: ribosomal RNA, 1302 nt
Filed under: metagenome
Description: bacterial SSU rRNA
Rfam family: Bacterial small subunit ribosomal RNA
Source: RNAcentral
AUAUAAGCCCACGGGUCGGCAUCGACCAGAGGGAAAAGGAGCAAUCCGCUUUGAGAUGGCCUCGCGUCCGAUUAGCUGGUUGGUGAGGUAACGGCCCACCAAGGCGACGAUCGGUAGCCGGACUGAGAGGUUGAACGGCCACAUUGGGACUGAGACACGGCCCAGACUCCUACGGGAGGCAGCAGUGGGGAAUAUUGCACAAUGGGGGAAACCCUGAUGCAGCGACGCCGCGUGGAGGAAGAAGGUCUUCGGAUUGUAAACUCCUGUUGUUGGGGAAGAUAAUGACGGUACCCAACAAGGAAGUGACGGCUAACUACGUGCCAGCAGCCGCGGUAAAACGUAGGUCACAAGCGUUGUCCGGAAUUACUGGGUGUAAAGGGAGCGCAGGCGGGAAGACAAGUUGGAAGUGAAAUCCAUGGGCUCAACCCAUGAACUGCUUUCAAAACUGUUUUUCUUGAGUAGUGCAGAGGUAGGCGGAAUUCCCGGUGUAGCGGUGGAAUGCGUAGAUAUCGGGAGGAACACCAGUGGCGAAGGCGGCCUACUGGGCACCAACUGACGCUGAGGCUCGAAAGUGUGGGUAGCAAACAGGAUUAGAUACCCUGGUAGUCCACACCGUAAACGAUGAUUACUAGGUGUUGGAGGAUUGACCCCUUCAGUGCCGCAGUUAACACAAUAAGUAAUUCACCUGGGGAGUACGACCGCAAGGUUGAAACUCAAAGGAAUUGACGGGGGCCCGCACAAGCAGUGGGGUAUGUGGUUUAAUUCGACGCAACGCGAAGAACCUUACCAAGUCUUGACAUCCGUUGACCGUCAUAGAAAUAUGUUUUUCCUUCGGGACAGCGAGACAGGUGGUGCAUGGUUGUCGUCAGCUCGUGUCGUGAGAUGUUGGGUUAAGACCCGCAACGAGCGCAACCCUUAUGGUCAGUUACUACGCAAGAGGACUCUGGCCAGACUGCCGUUGACAAAACGGAGGAAGGUGGGGAUGACGUCAAAUCAUCAUGCCCUUUAUGACUUGGGCUACACACGUACUACAAUGGCGUUAAACAAAGAGAAGCAAGACCGCGAGGUGGAGCAAAACUCAGAAACAACGUCCCAGUUCGGACUGCAGGCUGCAACUCGCCUGCACGAAGUCGGAAUUGCUAGUAAUCGUGGAUCAGCAUGCCACGGUGAAUACGUUCCCGGGCCUUGUACACACCGCCCGUCACACCAUGAGAGCCGGGGGGACCCGAAGUCGGUAGUCUAACCGCAAGGAGGACGCCGCCGAAGGUAAAACUGGUGAUUGGGGUGAAGUCGUAACAAGGU